AUUGAACGCUGGCGGCAGGCUUAACACAUGCAAGUCGAGCGGGGGAAGGUAGCUUGCUACCGGACCUAGCGGCGGACGGGUGAGUAAUGCUUAGGAAUCUGCCUAUUAGUGGGGGACAACAUCUCGAAAGGGAUGCUAAUGCCGCAUACGUCCUACGGGAGAAAGCAGGGGAUCUUCGGACCUUGCGCUAAUAGAUGAGCCGAAGUCGGAUUGGCUAGUUGGUGGGGUAAAGGCCUACCAAGGCGACGAUCUGUAGCGGGUCUGAGAGGAUGAUCCGCCACACUGGGCCUGAGACACGGCCCAGACUCCUACGGGAGGCAGCAGUGGGGAAUAUUGGAAAAUGGGGGGAACCCUGAUCCAGCCAUGCCGCGUGUGUGAGGAAGGCCUUAUGGUUGUAAAGCACUUUAAGCGAGGAGGAGGCUACUCUAGUUAAUACCUAGGGAUAGUGGACGUUACUCGCAGAAUAAGCACCGGCUAACUCUGUGCCAGCCGCCGCCGUAA
Molecule: ribosomal RNA, 501 nt
Filed under: uncultured bacterium
Lineage: Bacteria
Description: partial 16S ribosomal RNA
Rfam family: Bacterial small subunit ribosomal RNA
Source: RNAcentral